UUAAGCGACUAAGCGUACACGGUGGAUGCCCUGGCAGUCAGAGGCGAUGAAGGGCGUGCUAAUCUGCGAUAAGCGCCGGUAAGGUGAUAUGAACCGUUAUAACCGGCGAUACCCGAAUGGGGAAACCCAGUGUGACUCGUCACACUAUCAUUAACUGAAUCCAUAGGUUAAUGAGGCGAACCGGGGGAACUGAAACAUCUAAGUACCCCGAGGAAAAGAAAUCAACCGAGAUUCCCCCAGUAGCGGCGAGCGAACGGGGAGGAGCCCAGAGCCUGAAUCAGCAUGUGUGUUAGUGGAAGCGUCUGGAAAGGCGCGCGAUACAGGGUGACAGCCCCGUACACAAAAGCGCAUGUGCUGUGAGCUCGAUGAGUAGGGCGGGACACGUGGUAUCCUGUCUGAAUAUGGGGGGACCAUCCUCCAAGGCUAAAUACUCCUGACUGACCGAUAGUGAACCAGUACCGUGAGGGAAAGGCGAAAAGAACCCCGGCGAGGGGAGUGAAAAAGAACCUGAAACCGUGUACGUACAAGCAGUGGGAGCCCCACCACCAAAGCAUUCUCUGGUGUUGAAGGCCCUGCAAAGCAGCAUCGCGGUGGCGGAGCGUCGUUUGCGACGCCCAACACACAAAACAAGCGGUGAGUGCUUUGGGGUGGGGUGACUGCGUACCUUUUGUAUAAUGGGUCAGCGACUUAUAUUCUGUAGCAAGGUUAACCGUAUAGGGGAGCCGCAGGGAAACCGAGUCUUAACCGGGCGUUAAGUUGCAGGGUAUAGACCCGAAACCCGGUGAUCUAGCCAUGGGCAGGUUGAAGGUUGGGUAACACUAACUGGAGGACCGAACCGACUAAUGUUGAAAAAUUAGCGGAUGACCUGUGGCUGGGGGUGAAAGGCCAAUCAAACCGGGAGAUAGCUGGUUCUCCCCGAAAGCUAUUUAGGUAGCGCCUCGUGAAUUCAUCUCCGGGGGUAGAGCACUGUUUCGGCUAGGGGGCCAUCCCGGCUUACCAACCCGAUGCAAACUGCGAAUACCGGAGAAUGUUAUCACGGGAGACACACGGCGGGUGCUAACGUCCGUCGUGAAGAGGGAAACAACCCAGACCGCCAGCUAAGGUCCCAAAGUCAUGGUUAAGUGGGAAACGAUGUGGGAAGGCCCAGACAGCCAGGAUGUUGGCUUAGAAGCAGCCAUCAUUUAAAGAAAGCGUAAUAGCUCACUGGUCGAGUCGGCCUGCGCGGAAGAUGUAACGGGGCUAAACCAUGCACCGAAGCUGCGGCAGCGAACGUAUCACUUAAAGCGAUUCAGCGGGUUACGAUUGACGGAGCGAAGCGACGUCAAAGCGUAUACAAAGUCGAGUCGGUUUAAGGAUACGUUCGUUGGGUAGGGGAGCGUUCUGUAAGCCUGCGAAGGUGGCCUGUGAGGGUUGCUGGAGGUAUCAGAAGUGCGAAUGCUGACAUAAGUAACGAUAAAGCGGGUGAAAAGCCCGCUCGACGCUGAUGCGUUGUUGGGUAGGGGAGCGUUCUGUAAGCCUGUGAAGGUGGCCUGUGAGGGUUGCUGGAGGUAUCAGAAGUGCGAAUGCUGACAUAAGUAACGAUAAAGCGGGUGAAAAGCCCGCUCGCCGGAAGACCAAGGGUUCCUGUCCAACGUUAAUCGGGGCAGGGUGAGUCGACCCCUAAGGCGAGGCCGAAAGGCGUAGUCGAUGGGAAACGGGUUAAUAUUCCCGUACUUGGUGUUACUGCGAAGGGGGGACGGAGAAGGCUAUGUUGGCCGGGCGACGGUUGUCCCGGUUUAAGCGUGUAGGUGUGUGUUCCAGGUAAAUCCGGUUCACUUUAACACUGAGGCGUGAUGACGAGGCACUACGGUGCUGAAGCAACAAAUGCCCUGCUUCCAGGAAAAGCCUCUAAGCAUCAGGUAACAUCAAAUCGUACCCCAAACCGACACAGGUGGUCAGGUAGAGAAUACCAAGGCGCUUGAGAGAACUCGGGUGAAGGAACUAGGCAAAAUGGUGCCGUAACUUCGGGAGAAGGCACGCUGACACGUAGGUGAAGUGAUUUACUCACGGAGCUGAAGUCAGUCGAAGAUACCAGCUGGCUGCAACUGUUUAUUAAAAACACAGCACUGUGCAAACACGAAAGUGGACGUAUACGGUGUGACGCCUGCCCGGUGCCGGAAGGUUAAUUGAUGGGGUCAGCGCAAGCGAAGCUCCUGAUCGAAGCCCCGGUAAACGGCGGCCGUAACUAUAACGGUCCUAAGGUAGCGAAAUUCCUUGUCGGGUAAGUUCCGACCUGCACGAAUGGCGUAAUGAUGGCCAGGCUGUCUCCACCCGAGACUCAGUGAAAUUGAACUCGCUGUGAAGAUGCAGUGUACCCGCGGCAAGACGGAAAGACCCCGUGAACCUUUACUAUAGCUUGACACUGAACAUUGAGCCUUGAUGUGUAGGAUAGGUGGGAGGCUUUGAAGUGUGGACGCCAGUCUGCAUGGAGCCGACCUUGAAAUACCACCCUUUAAUGUUUGAUGUUCUAACGUGGACCCGUAAUCCGGGUUGCGGACAGUGUCUGGUGGGUAGUUUGACUGGGGCGGUCUCCUCCUAAAGAGUAACGGAGGAGCACGAAGGUUGGCUAAUCCUGGUCGGACAUCAGGAGGUUAGUGCAAUGGCAUAAGCCAGCUUGACUGCGAGCGUGACGGCGCGAGCAGGUGCGAAAGCAGGUCAUAGUGAUCCGGUGGUUCUGAAUGGAAGGGCCAUCGCUCAACGGAUAAAAGGUACUCCGGGGAUAACAGGCUGAUACCGCCCAAGAGUUCAUAUCGACGGCGGUGUUUGGCACCUCGAUGUCGGCUCAUCACAUCCUGGGGCUGAAGUAGGUCCCAAGGGUAUGGCUGUUCGCCAUUUAAAGUGGUACGCGAGCUGGGUUUAGAACGUCGUGAGACAGUUCGGUCCCUAUCUGCCGUGGGCGCUGGAGAACUGAGGGGGGCUGCUCCUAGUACGAGAGGACCGGAGUGGACGCAUCACUGGUGUUCGGGUUGUCAUGCCAAUGGCACUGCCCGGUAGCUAAAUGCGGAAGAGAUAAGUGCUGAAAGCAUCUAAGCACGAAACUUGCCCCGAGAUGAGUUCUCCCUGAGACUUAAAGUCUCCUGAAGGAACGUUGAAGACGACGACGUUGAUAGGCCGGGUGUGUAAGCGCAGCGAUGCGUUGAGCUAACCGGUACUAAUGAACCGUGAGGCUUAACCUU
RNAcentral lists this ribosomal RNA (3215 nucleotides) under Salmonella enterica subsp. enterica serovar Kentucky. RNAcentral's name for it is "bacterial LSU rRNA". It matches the Rfam family "Bacterial large subunit ribosomal RNA". The record is from RNAcentral. Lineage: Bacteria; Pseudomonadati; Pseudomonadota; Gammaproteobacteria; Enterobacterales; Enterobacteriaceae.